RNAcentral lists this long non-coding RNA (201 nucleotides) under Vigna radiata. RNAcentral's name for it is "long non-coding RNA (VRAD_LNC005553)". The record is from RNAcentral. Lineage: Eukaryota; Viridiplantae; Streptophyta; Magnoliopsida; Fabales; Fabaceae.
GUAAAUAGCCAAACAUGGCAGAGAUUCUUGGCAUGGUUGCUGCUGUUAUUGGUAUUUCUUUGUUCAUUCAUUCCUUAUCUUCUUACCAUUAUUAACCUUUACCAAGUUUGGGUGUUUCUUGCAGGGAAUGUUGCGUCAGUGUCUCUCUAUGCAGCACCAACGUAUGUUACAUUCCACCACUCGUACAUGCUUUCACCAUCC